This 547-nucleotide long non-coding RNA is filed under the name Zostera marina. RNAcentral describes it as "long non-coding RNA (ZMAR_LNC006015)". The record is from RNAcentral. Lineage: Eukaryota; Viridiplantae; Streptophyta; Magnoliopsida; Alismatales; Zosteraceae.
GUCUGCUCGUAUCCAACGCUGGCACUUUUUUAUAAACCCCUUCCUUUUUCCGCUUCUCCCUAGCUUCUCUCAAACACCCAAGAACAUCAUGUUUAAUAUUCCUUGUUUUUUCUUGCUGUGCAGGCUGGAUACAAACAUAUUGACUGUGCCAAAAUUUACGAGAAUCAGGAAGAAGUAAUGAUUAAUCACUAAUGAAUAAAAUCUUUCUAGAUCCUUUUUAUUUGCUCUCUUGUCUCAUCGGAGAUAUGGAAAUCCAUAUAUUCUGUAGAUCGGUGCUGCUUUGAAGAAGUUAUUUGAAGAGGGUGUUGUGAAACGGGAAGAUCUGUUCAUCACCUCUAAACUCUGGUACCCGUCCAGUGUUUAUUAUCUAUAUAUGUAAGAGUAAAAUUUGUAAAAUAACCUAUAAAUCGAUCGAUUGAUUCAGGAGUGCUGAUCAUGGCUCGGAAGAUGUUCCUGAAGCUUUUAACGAAACACUCAAAGCUUUGCAGAUUGAUUAUUUAGAUCUUUAUCUUGUGAGUAUAUCUACAUUGUACUAAAUAAAUAAGGA